Molecule: long non-coding RNA, 40634 nt
Filed under: Triticum aestivum (bread wheat)
Lineage: Eukaryota; Viridiplantae; Streptophyta; Magnoliopsida; Poales; Poaceae
Description: long non-coding RNA (TAES_LNC008940)
Source: RNAcentral
AAGAAAAAAGAGCUCCUGGGCCAGAGCCGAGCUAGCUGAUCGCCCCACCGUCACCGGCCGUGGCUAGCCUCCGAUAGGUACCUGCAUGUGCUUCUCUCGUUCAGCUUAGCUAUAGCAUUCGCGCUUGACGACGUUCCCCUCCGCAGCGGUUCAUGGCUAGCUUACAUUAGGUUAAUCUGUAGCGAGCGUUCCUUCGUUCUUGGCUGGAUUAAUUUAGGUGGUCCUCUAUUUUAUUUCAUUUUUAUUUCUAUUCACUGUUGCUCAUGUAAUUCCUAGCUGUGGCGCCAUGGCCAUUUGCUGAUUUCGUUCUUGCUGGGGAAUGUACUGCCUGAUCGAUCAGCUAGCUGGCGAGGAAUUGCAUCUGGGGAUCGGGGCUGCCUGCAUGGCCAUGGAUUCCGUGCGCUCUCCUCGAGUAUUUUUUUUCCUUUUCGUUCUUGUCGUCGCUAGCUGGAGCUGCGUGCGUUGGGACAAUUUUACUCAUGGGUCCAGGUUUGCUAGUCGCUACCGCCUGCGUGCCAUUGCUACUCCUAAAGAAGAUAGACAACUGUUGCAUUCCGUUCUUUGCUUAGCCAUUUUCCUGCCCGCCUCACUCACUUUGGGCAUUUGUUCGGGUGCUUAAUUCUGCACAGACCAAUGCUUCCCGUCCCCUCCAUUGAUCCAAGAAAAAAAGAUGAGUGCUGCCCAGCGCCAUGAUCCAUGCAGCAGAACUGUAGCAGCACGCUGCAUGACGUGCUCCACUGUUCUUGGCCCGAUUUUUCUGUCUUUCUCGCCAUGAAUCAAUGCAACCGUUCCCUCGCAUCCUGCCCCCGCAUUUAACUCCCCCAUCUCGCGAGCAAUGUUAAGGUUCUUCUUCUCCUCCUUGAUUAGUUCUGCCCGCAUUAAGGGCCUCUGGCCCUUUCUGCCGAUUUACUCGCUUCUGCCCUGCAUGCCUUUCCGUUUUUACUCCCGCCAUCAACUGAUCGAUCGAUCGAUCAGUCGCCUUUAAUACCGGCGCAGGGGACGCACGCGGCCGCUAGCCGCAUUCAUCACGGGUGGAUACAUGGAGGGAGGGAGCUCCGGGACAAAUUUAUGGCGACGUACUUCGCCCUACGGUAUGUGCAUGUCAGCGCGUGUCGCUGUAGCACGGACGGAGCAUAUGCUGCGCUGAGCUGAUCACGCCUCGCCGCCUGGCCGGACUGCAUGCGCAAGGGAGAGGUGCGUGCAGCGCAGCGCAGUGCUGGCAGCUUUGCUUAGCUCAACACUCCACCCGUGUAGUAUAGUCGCGGGUUGGAUCGAUCGCUGUAGCUUUUGGGCCUGCGCUGCCAUGCCAAUGCCAUUACCAUGCAUGCAUGUGCUCGCCGUACGUCGCGCCGGAGAUCGAUGCAGUGGGAGCAGCAGAGAGAGGCCGCAGCGUUCCAAAAUGCAGCGAUCUUUUCCCCUAGCACCACGCCUCUUGGCCCUCUCCUCGUAUAUGUAUGUCAUCGUGUGACCUGGCUUUGGCUUUUGGGAGGCAGCCAUGUGGAUCGACGACGCCGGACACGCUGGGCGGCUCGCCUCUGGUCCGAACUUGCCCGAUGUCCUCCUGUGCGCUGCACUAGUGCAACCUGGGUGGCACUCGACUCAUGUACUUAUGGAUCGGAGUCCAGCGUACGUGGUCCCGGCCGGUGAGCUCUUCUGUAGCACGAAAUAAAAACUUUCAAUGGAUUUUGGAGCGAGCGCUGUAGCAGCAGCAAGCAGCAGGAGGAGGAGCUAGCUUUGCAUUAUGAAUCAACGCCAUGCUUGCUGCACGCCCCGAAAGGCGAGGGUGGCAUAUUUCUGUUUCGGGAGAGGUAGGAUAGCCUGUUCUCGCUGCAGCCUGCCGCUCCUGUUUUUCGUUUUCUUUUCCUAUCAGUGAAUCAUUGCAUGUGAUGUAUGCCAACGUACGAGUAGUACUGUAUGUAUGUAUAUCCCACCCCUCCACAAAGAGAAAAUCAAACGUCUCCCACCAAUAUUCCAGGGGUUUUUUAGGCUAAAGACACGCUUUACUUAUUGCUCAAGAAUUUCUAGAGGAAUGCAAGAUUAAGCCCACUACCACUAAUAUCUUUGUUGUCAAUCGGGCACGAGAAGCAGUCGUUAAGCCCACUGGCAACACUAGUUUCUCCUGAACCUGAUGGCUCCCAGAUUACAGCGUUCUUGUCUACAAGAGCGGACGCAACAGCGGUAAAAGUUUUUUUUUGCGGGAAAACAGCGGUAACAGCGGUAAAAGUUGACGCCCUGAUUAACCGAGCACGGCCUGUAAACUUGCACGAUGUGACGGUGACACACUGAACGAUUGCGAAUAGUUGGAACGGAGGGUAGAGAUCAAUUAAUGCUGCCGUAGUAAGUUGUUCUCCUCCUGUUUUCCUUAUCUUUCUUUAGGUGUUGCACAUGCGGAAAAUACCCUUAUACACCUGGUUGUAUAUGCACCUGAUAAAAAAAUCCAGGAAAAUAGUAAUUUAGCAAAAAAGGUCGAUCUUUGAAACAUUUUUUGGCAACAAACUUGACCUACUGCCGUACUCGUAUAAAUUUUUUGACAAAGAAAAACAAUUGUAAACAAUCGGAGCAUAAAAACAAAUUUUCAGGACAAUAUAGAGUGAAUAGUACCUCUAAUAGUGUUGAUUUUGUCUUCUUCACCAACAAUACCACGAAAUUCAUUUCGUCCCCAAAAUUAUCACUUGUGGAUUACUCAAAAGAAUGAAGUCCCGUUCUUUGUCGAAAUUUUGUAAAAACGGAGGUGGACAUGUGUAACACUUUAUAAAGUUUGUUGCCAAAAUCUUUCAUGAUUUUCGACCGUUUUUUAAAUUAGUCCCUCCGUUCACAAAUAAAAUGUUUUAGAUAUUUUAACAUAGACCACAUACGGACUGAAUAUGAAUGAACAAACACAUUAAAAUGUGUCUACAUACAUCUGAGAAGGCAACAUUAGAUGUACUUGUGAAUAGAGGGAGUACCGAUUUUUCUUUUUUUUUUGAAAAACGGGUGCACCUAUCCCCAGGUUCCAUUCGUUCCCCUCCACGCAAUGUUCCACUUGCGUCUUCAGUGGCACAUUUACAUUCCAAAUUACCGAAUAGAUAAUAGAGAUAGCCUAAAGCACAUUCGUUUUCUUAAACGGAGGCAAAUAAUUUGUGUCAUCAAUUCAUUUAGCAAAAGAUAAUUGUCUAGUUAAUUAGUGAAAACCGGUAUAAAAAGACCACAUGUGGAUUACUCAAAACAAUGAAGUCCAUGAUCGCAUGGUAGCGCACCUGAUUAGGCACACAGCGCCUUCGCUGAACAAUAGCAACUGCCACAACGACAAACAAGAUCACUGCUAAGCAGCCACGUGUAUAGGAGCUGAGGCUAGCAGAUCGAUGCGGAAAAUUCAACGUGAAAAAGGUUCGUAGUUUGGACGCACCGUCCUCUGUAGAGGGUAAUUUCUAACUCUCUGUAAAACCAUUUUGACGAUUCCAGCCUGGACCUCGAAUUGGUUAGCGAGCAGAUAUGCCACGUCACACAUAUGAGCGCGGCGCUCGCAUAAAUGGCAAAUGGCGAGGUGUGGUAAAGUCGCCUAACAGUGACCACCACUGUUGCGUCUUGUUGUACUUGCUGACACGAGUAGACAGAAUUAGAGAUCCAGUCAAAGAAACUGUGCUCGCGGGUCCCCGAACCUCCAGCAGCACGAUCAUAAGGCGUAAUGGUCACUUAAGUACGACUUACUCUAUGGCCACUAUGCAUCUGCGUGGUGGUCACACACACCAGACUCAAGUGUAUAUACGGCACUGUGGCCUGAUCUUGUUCGUUACCGUGGCCCGCCAUUGCAUGCAUGCAAGCCCGGGCUCCCCCCGCCCCCUGUCAACGUUAGAAAAAGGAGCUUAAAGUCAACCCAAGCCUUGUGCAGGCUAUCUGAUGAUGAUGGUGCAUUGGUGCAGUACUGUGCUGUCAUGUAGCAGCAGCUAGGGCAUGCUGCUAUGUGAAACGACGCCUUUGAGACAUCUAAUCGUCGGCCCUACUAAUCACUGCUUCAGUUCCAAGCGUGAUAUCAUGUCACGAGCCAUUUCCCAGGCAGAUAGCGUCUGCACGCGUCGCUUGCUCUUGUCGUGCGCACUCAUGCAUGCAUGCAGCUUGCUUGCUUCACAUAGGAUCAGACAUUGUUUGCUGUUUGCCAUGAUAUCAGUUGAGGCUGUCAACUAUCUGUCCAUUUUUUGUUUCGAAAAAAAUUAGAUCUGCUACGAAAAUACAUCAAAAAUACAAAGCACCUCAAACAUAACAAAAAUUACAUCGAGAUCGCUAGACCAUCGAACGACCACCACCGUCACCCGAACAAAGUGUCGACGCGCUGUUGUCGCUGCUCCUCUACCAAAGCCAGCUUGUCCUUGUCGAUGACAAACGGAAAAAUCUUCAUGCACGUGUCCUUAAGGACCAGAGCUCUGGAGUCGCGAUCGUCGCCUUCGCACGUGCCCCUAAGGACCAACUAACACCAACUAUAGCCAUCACGCACGCACGAUAGAAACUAACCUCACCGCCCCCAGGAGACGGCAGGAAUCUACGUCGGAGCUUCGUCGGCUACGUCUGCAUGGACGAACUAGAGGAGGAUCGGAGUCUGUAAGACAAACUCGAAGAAGCGACGCCAUCCGACUGAACGUCGCACAUGCGAGGACUAAAAUACCCUAAGCUAAACUACUAGCCGGAGCGAUGGCACCGGGAUUCCACUUCCCGCCAGAGCGGCAGGCAGAAGGGAGACGAAUCCUCGGGCUCGCUGAUGAAGUCUGGAAGGGAUAGUUUGCCCUACCCUCGAGGCAAAGGAAAGAAAACGAUUGGAGAAGAGUUUAAUCAUGCCUUGGGAGUAGGAUUUUCUUUUCUCCGGCUUAAUGGACCUCUUGAACGCUGUUAUUUUUCUUUAUUAGUUGAAUGAGUCAAAACUUUUGCUUCCGUUUCAAUAUUUUUGUCUAUUUAUCUGUUCUGAGUUUUUUCAUUUGUUGCAAUCACAUUUUCAGUCCCUGCUAAUUUGUCGAGGAAUCAAUCAAUAUGAGUAUUUCACUAUGAUUACUCAGCAAGUGACCGGCUACAAUGAAUUGGAGGCGACAAAUGAAUGCUGAAGCGGAGCUUUUGUCAGUGCAAACUAAAGACUGGCGCCACCCUUCCUUCCUUUUUGUGCCGACGGUCCGGGGGCAAAAGCGGGGGCAGAGGCGACACUGAUACGGACAUGGCAAUGCAUUCCAUGGUGCGUGCACGGACUUGAAUGAUAAUAAUGAGCGUCUUCCAUUCUCCUCCCUGCAGAUCGCAUGCUGCACAUUGAUGCCUCGAGUGCAUGCAGCGAUGCAGGUGCAGCUAUGAGCUAGGCUAUCCACCUGCCUCUGCGUAAAGCGAGCCCCGGCCCGGAAGAAAGUUGGGGGGCACGGCACGGCACGGCAUGUAUAAAGAAGCGGACGGACUCGAUCGUCCUGCCAUGCAUGCAUGCAUGCGUGGAUGUUUGCUUCCAUCUGAGUUCUGAGGUUUUUCGUGCUGUGUCAGGCAGCCUCUUCCGGAAUUUCUGGCGAGGAAGGCAGCUUUAGCCUAGCAGUAGCACCUCUCUCUACGACGGAAAGAUGGCGCGUGCUGGGUCGGUCGAUCACGCUACGCUGCUGUGGUAUCAUGGCUGAGUCUCGAGAGAAAAGCAUUUGCAGAUCUAUCAUGGGAUCAUCCGCCCGCGGAGCUCGGCUCGCUACAUGAGAUGGCGUAAAGCGUGUUUGGAAAAUUCUGAAAGCUGUUUGGACCGUCGGCAAGCAGCGAGAAGGUGGCCAUCAAUGUGGAUCGGUGGUGGUACGUGCGCGCACUCGACCAUGCGCCCCGGCCGGCACGUCCCCGCGGGGCCGUCAACCGCGCGAUCCAGCGGGCGUUUGACCGGCGUCGGUAGGAUCUGUCGGUAGGCACGGAAUCUCUCGUCUUUCUCUCCCUGUUAUUCCCGGUCGCGGGUCGCGGCCGGUCAUGAUUGUUAUUCGCCGCGGUGGUAGCCGGGAGGGAGACGGAGAAAUGAAAAGCCCCCACCGGGCCGUGCAAAGCGGGGGGCCGAUUAGCCAACACGGGCGGGGCGGGGCGGACGCAUGCAUGCGAGCGAGCGCGCUUGCAUCGGAGAAAGCGCGGGCGCGGCCGGGAGCGAGGGGGAGGGAGGGAGAGAGAGGCCGAGCGCGGCCCCGCGGCGCCGGGGUCUCGCUGAUUGGGACGUAUCGGAACGCGGAAAGGCGCGCCUGAUAGGGACAAAACGACGCGCUGCCUUCUCGCUCGCGGCCUGCUCGCCUUUGGGUCUCAGGUUUUGCUUGCCGGCUGGUUGCCAGGUUGCUGUGAUAUGCGAUGUGUCCGCUCUGCCUGGCCUGGCUUGGCUUGUUGGCUCGCACGCAUCUGGGCCGGCCGAGCUUUUGUCCCGAACCGGAGCCGUGAUUGACUGCUUGUGAGGCAAAGGGUUUUUGUGGUCCGUCUCAGCUCGUGGUGGAACGGUCGCCGGCGCAACCGUGGGGGUUGGAGCAACAGAGUUUAUAUAAGUGCCAUCAGGGUCAAGUGUUGUAUCACUUCUUGUUCGAUUANNNNNNNNNNNNNNNNNNNNNNNNNNNNNNNNNNNNNNNNNNNNNNNNNNNNNNNNNNNNNNNNNNNNNNNNNNNNNNNNNNNNNNNNNNNNNNNNNNNNNNNNNNNNNNNNNNNNNNNNNNNNNNNNNNNNNNNNNNNNNNNNNNNNNNNNNNNNNNNNNNNNNNNNNNNNNNNNNNNNNNNNNNNNNNNNNNNNNNNNNNNNNNNNNNNNNNNNNNNNNNNNNNNNNNNNNNNNNNNNNNNNNNNNNNNNNNNNNNNNNNNNNNNNNNNNNNNNNNNNNNNNNNNNNNNNNNNNNNNNNNNNNNNNNNNNNNNNNNNNNAUGAACGAAGAAGACGAUGUUUACCCAGGUUCGGACCCUCUUGAUGGAGAUAAAACCCUGUGUCCUGCUUUUGUUUAUAUUGAUGAUGACGUAUCAAGUACAAAGCUUGAUCUACCUCGAGGCGUUAGUGUGUUCUAACCCUAGGGCUAGGUGAAUGUAAUUGUGAUUGGGAUCCCCUCUACGGGUUAAACCCUUUGUCUUAUAUACACGCCAGGUUGGGUAUCUAGGAUUACAUGGUCGGUAUCCAAGGGUACGCAUGGAGGCGGCAAGAGAUGUCUUGGAGUAUACGUCAAGUCUUCGGCAGGCGCAUUUUUGAACAGGUGUGAAGCUUCCGUGGUCCAUCUUAAUGAGACUGAGGGCCCACAAGCCCAUCCCGAGGACUAUGGGCCGACUAAGUUAGUACCCCCUAGUCUUGGACACUAUCUAUAGCCGUCGAACUGGUCUUCUAUGCCGAGGAGGACCUCUUUGACGCUAACAACUCCCGAUCUGAAGUCAUUGGCUUGACAGACGAGUUCCCCUUUUGGCUUCUCAAAAUGCUUUCCUUUAUUCAAAGCCCCCUUGGACCACUCCUCGAGGAGUGGCGUCCUUUGACCAGGACCCAGCCGAACCUGCACUGCUUCCGGAGGCAUGGGGUUACUUAGUGAAAGGAUCGAUAUAGUUGACUAGAGAGGGGGGGGGGGGGUUGAAUAGGCAACUAACAAUUUUUAGCUUUUCUUUACUAAUUUAAACUUUGCAUCAAAGUAGGUUGUCUAGAUAUGCAACUAGGUGAGCAACCUAUAUGAUGCAACAACAACAAGUACACAAGCAAGCAAGAGAUGCAACGCAAUAUAAGCUUGCACAAGUAGAGGUACGAGAUAACCAAGAGUGGAGACGGUGAAGACGAGGAUGUGUUACCGAAGUUCCUUCCUUUUGAGGGGAAGUACGUCUCCGUUGGAGCGGUGUGGAGGCACAAUGCUUCCCAAGAAGCUGCUAGGGCCACCGUAUUCUCCUCACGCCCUCACACAAUGCGAGAUGCCGUGAUUCCACUAUUGGUGCCCUUGAAGGCGGCGACCGGACCUUUACAAACAAGGUUGGGGCUCUCUCCACAACUGAAUUGGAGGCUCCCAACAAAACCACGGAGCUUCACCAAUUUGGAAUGUGGCUCCGAGGUGACCUCAACCGUCUAGGGUGCUCAAACACCGAAGAGUAACAAAAUCCACACAAGAAAGUAUGGGGGAAGCAAAUAUCCUUUGGUGGAAGUGUAGAUCUAGGUCUCCUCCUUCAAUCCCUAGCAAAUCAACGAGUUUGAGUGGCUAGAGAGAGAGAGAGAGAGAUCGGGCAAGAGAGCUUGAGUGCAUUAAUGGUGGAGUGAGAGAGGUAAGAGGUAAAUGUGGUAGGUGGAAGAACCACCCUUAUACAGCAAACCCUAAAAUCCAACCAUUACUACGAAAUCAGCACUAUAGCGAUACAACCGCUCCUCGUCCCGGUACAACCGGAACUCACAGUUUAUCUGCAGAACCCUACCAAGCGGUACAACCGGGCGGGCAGGCGGUAGUACCGGUUGCGGAGAACAACCGGAACAACCGCCCAGUCACCGCUCAACCACCGCGUUGAAAUAGUAGGGUGUCACCCCUAUGUGCGGUGAUCGAGCGGUAUAGCCCCGGUGCAACCGCCUGGCCUUGGACGCUUGGGUGGCUAAGUCCCAAGCGGUAGAACCGCUCAGGACACCGGUGGUACCGGUGUGCGGGGCACAACCGGCCAACCGGGCCACCGCCGCCCAAGUACCGCAUCAAAACAGAAGUCUGACCGGUUGUUGAGCGGUACUUGGCCGGUACAACUACCGCAGUCAUUGUUAAGCUUGGUGGCGGUACCACCGCCCGGGAGCAGUGGUACAACCGCUCAUUCACGACUGGGUUGGUCAACCCCAGGGUAUCACCCCUGGGGUGGAGGUUGGGUUAGCGCCAAGAGCCAGCGGUACAACCGCUCACACAAGCGGUACAACCGCUGGGAGAACACAGUAAGCAGUAGAAAAAGAAGGGGAGCUCUCUGUCUCAUAAGACAAGGAAGGCAAAGGAGGGUGUGGCGAGUGUGUAUGUGAAAAGACCCCCCCAACUCCUUCCAAUAUGGAUUCCCUCUUGAUAGUACGGGUUCCCUACGACCAAAGAGAUAAACACGUAGAAAAACCUCAUCUUCGAUCUUUUCCUUCCAAAGAGAAUAGCUAACCAAUGUAAGCCUAAUCACCGAGAACCUGAAGCACUUAGCACACGAUUAGACCAACAAAGGGUUUUCAUCAUCAUCCAAAACACAAAGUAGGGAAAUGCCCUUACAAUCUCCCCCUUUUUGGUGGAUGAUGACAACAACACGAUUUGCAAGAGAGAGGUCUAGAAAAUAUAGACGGGACUCCCCCUAGAUGUGUGCCCUAAUUUGAUGUUGCUAUUGGAAUGCAAGUGCACACAUUAAGGGCAAGACUCCCCCUAGAUUUUAUAGACCCACCACUCCUACUAGACAUGCGAAGAAGCAAUAAGCACAUAAUAGGAGAGUAAGGACUAUAACGGAUAAAACCAACAAUAUUAAUGACAAUAAUGAUAGAUAGAUGAGCGCAUGUCUCACACCAUGCAAGUCAAGAUAAGCAACAAGGUCCACAAACUAAAGUUCAACACGAUGCACGAAAGAACAAAGCACAAACCCAAGCAAAGCAAAUCCCAUGCAAAUCCCGAGACCUAAUAGAACUCUCUCCCCCUUUGGCAUCAAGACACCAAAAAGGAAAAGAGCGAAGCUAGCGCCCCAGAGCUCAGUCGUCCUCCUCUGACUCCUCGGUUGCACCUGGAUCCUCAUCAUCAUCAGACUCCUCAUCAUGGUCCCGAUCUGCGUCCUCCAUGAUGUCAUCAUCAGCAGCAAAGGAGGUGGAGGGCUGGCGAGGAGCCUCAUCAUCGGACCAAGUGCUAUGCGUAGAGAUCCAUCGCUCCUCCGGUGUGAUGCUCUUCUCAGAACCACUCUGAACAGACAUAUUGAGGUGCUUCAUCAUCGCAAUCUGACAACGCCUGGCAUGCUUCUCAUUGACAUGGGCCUCAUACAUCCUCUUCUGAAUGUCAGUCUGGAGGCUGAAGGUCUUCUUCACCUUGGCAGUGAGCUUGGUCACCCAAGAGGGCUUGGCCCCUGGCUCCAUCUCAAAGUCCUCAUCCUUUGAAAUGGCGUAGACAUCCUCGGGAUCAUUCACAGGAAAGCGAGGCUCGUCAUGCUUCUUCUUCUUGAGUAGCUUGACCUCAUGAACUGUGAGAUUAUCUGGAGAAGUGAGAAGCUCUCCAGGACGACGAACAACAUGACAAACGAAGCAUAAAUAGGGACCUUUCUGUAGAUGACCAUGUUGUACAUCUCGUGCCACAGCCAGUUGGACACAUCAAACGUUGCGCCAGAUCCCACCUUGGUCUUCAUAGCAACCAUCAAGUCAACAAGGUAGCCAUGAAUUUCAUCUUGAUUGCCCACCUUGGGCAAAAGCACAUUGCGAAACACUCAAUGCAUGAUGUCAUAGAUCUUCACCAAAUCCUUGGAUUCUCCAAUAAUACCACGGCCCCAAAUUUACAGAGGGGCAAGCUUCUCCUUAGGCAUGGACUCAGGAUGGUUGUGCGGACGAAUGACACCAUUCCCCUCAAGGCAUGUAUUGUCAUAACCAAGAGCAUUGCAGAAAGCCAUCCAGGGUACUUGAAAGAGCUCAUCACGGCACAUGAACGUGAGUGUGCGAGCGUCAUCUUCUCCAAAAUGAACAGUGGCAUAGAACUGAUGGAUAAUCUGAACAUCAAAGUCACAGUUUACUGACAUGAGCUUGACCAGAUCGAACUCCUCACAGAGAGCCAAAGCCUCACCAAAAUACUCCAAGUUGCUCCUCCGAUGGUCAAGAUCAAUGGUCCACUGCUUGGCAUACCUGUUCUUGUUAUGCUCAAAGAGUUCAUGAACAAUCCGCACUUGCAUCUCAUUUCGGAACUGAACGGUGGUCCAACGAGGUGCAAUGGGAACCUCGUAAGGAUUCUUUGAGCGGAAGGUUCCCCAAUCCUUGGCUUUCCAACGGUGCAAGGGCAUAACCACACGUUGCUUGGCAGCGGCAGACUUCUCACGGCGAGUGGGCUUGGUGGGAAUCAAAACCUCUUCUUCUUGGUCUUGCGAGGAGCAGAGCGAGAACUAGAGCCACCUGCACACACACGCAUGAGGAGACAACAAGAAACCCAGCAAAGAUGAGAUGAUUGCACACACAAACAAAGAAAAGGGUAGAUUGCACAAUGGAGAAGAUAGAACAGAGCUACGUGCACUACAAAAAAAAUACACUUCCAUGAUGAUACGUGUUUGUCACAGUAGGUCACGUUUUCUGUCAUGCAUGUACAUCCAUGACAAUUUUAUGACAGAAUCAAGAUAGUCAUACCUGUGCUAUCGUAGAAGUGUUCCAUGACAUUACCAAAAUUAUCAUCACGAAAGUGUCCACUUCCAUGACGAUAAAUCGCGCGUCACGGAAGUGCUUUCGUCAAGGGUGACCGACACGUGGCAUCCACCGUAAUGGAACGCCGUUAAGCUAUCGGGUCUGGUUUUGGACCCGAUAACCCGUUAACAGCCCCGACCAAUGGGGAUUUUCCACGUGUAAAAUCAUCAUUGGCUGGAGGAAACACGUGUCGGCUCGCCGUUGGGACAGAUGUCAUCCAGUCAUUGGACCCAAAGCACCUAUGAUACAUCGACACGUGGCAUGGCCCAACAGAGGCCCAUUCCUGUGAAAAGACUGGCCCAUUUGACUUGGUCAAAAGGUGGCGGGCCGGCCCACGGCAAGCCCAUUAAGAUAAGUUGCUUCUUUCGUUAGAGAUGCAAUUGUCCUGGUCCGCCUACUCUCCCGUGCCCAAAUACCGACUCUGUAGCAGCUGUUAAUGUAAUGUUGCUGGUAAAAUGAAGCAAUGGCACCAUUAAAGUAAUGUCGUAUUUAACGGUUGUCAUAGUUAAUCCUAAUGCCCACACUAAUAUCUAGCAAUGCUGCUAGAAAUUGCUACUGUCCUUGUACGAUUGCCAUUCAGAUAAGGAACAUGCUUUUUUUCAUUUGAUGCAUGUUUCAUCACUUGUUAGUCACCCUCCUUUCCACCUUUUUUGUGCAAACAGAGAUAUACAUUUCACACUUGAUCUUAGUUGAACUGCACAAAUGAUAUCCAAAUUAUAGUUGAACAUUCCAGGAGCUUCACGACCAACCUUGAUGUUGCUCAAUUUUAUUGCAACUAAUGAAGAAGAAGCUCUGUGGGUUUCGUUUUCUGAUGGAAAUGGAACCGGGGCUGGAGCCCUUUUCUUAAAAAAAGAAGAAGAAGCUGCUAGCUCAUGGGACAUUGCUUCAUUUUAGGUGAACUGCACCAAAAGGUCCCAUGAAUUGAAUCAUCCAUGUUGGUGACUGGUUUCAUCCCUUCUACGAUGGCGUUGACUGCAGAUAUGGUUCCCAUCACGAGGUAUGUUCCUUUUUGGUUUGACCGUUUGCCAAAGAUCCUGCAUGUUGAUCCUACUCUUGUGCUACUGUUUUGGCACUGCCAUGAUAAAGCAGUAAUGUUAUUAUUUUGCACCUUAAUCUAGUGGCACUAUUAAUUUGAGGUAAUGUUUUGGCACCGCUAGUGCCACUGUUUUUUUAUAUAUCGAAAGAGGGGGUUCCCUCCGAUUUCAUUAAAGAAACCCAACCAUAGAGAACGAUUAUCCGACAACAUCUCAGUGUAAACGGGCAGUUAUGCAACUACUACUAGAACGGACUGAGUACUACAGGAGACAAGUUCGCCACAUAAGCUAGGAAGGUAGGGGGACGCAGCACCAGCUCGACCAAAUUUGGAUUACAACCCAAAUGCUACCACAGAAACAUCAGGGGGAAGAUAGGGACUGAAAGAGCCAGCUUCAGCAUCCCAGUCUAAGCACCCCCAGCUUUCAUCCUUGCGACACACGGUACACCUCGUUUGCCACCUGCUCGACCAUAGUGUCACUGAUAAAAUGAAGUAAUAAUACAAUUAAAAUAGAGCGAGUGUCCUCUCUAUCAUUUAAUUUCCAAUGUAGAUAAAGAAAGUGCUUCUCUUUGUUAAUGUAUGUUUCAUCAACUAGUCCCAUUGUUAAUGUUUAAGCGUUUCUGCAAACUGGGGUGCUUAAUUUUAGUUGAUUUGCACAAAAAUAGAGAUUUGAAUGUCUCAAGGCCCCUCCUUGUACUACCGCUGUACACUGAUGUUCAUCCCUCGCAGAAGGUGUAUCGGGGAGACUUGGGACGAUUUCCAGUAUGAGGCGGGGCGUACCGUAUGAGGCGUCGCAGGGCCCAUCUCGCCCUCGCAGCAUGGCAUACUAUGAUACUAUCGCAAUAUUUUCUAUUUAUUUUGCGUGUUUCAUCAACUAGUGCCACUAUAAUGUAAUCACGCUUUUUCAUUAUCUGUGCAAACAGGGUUAUUCAGCUGCAUUUUGGUGGAGCAGCACAAAUGUACGGAUGGAACCGGCAUAUAUGCAGAGUGCGAGGUGUGCCAAGUAAAAAUUACCGACACCAACCAUGCUCCAUGCACGCAUUGGCAUCCACCACCACCAGUGGGAUGUGUGGCGCUCUCUGUGGACGGAUCUUUCUCGUCAGCAAAUCCUCUAACCAAAUACUAGUAGCUUAUAUUAGCAGUUUUCUAGGGAGUACUCUUUUCUGAAAGAAGCACCAAUCUAUUUUUCUUUAUUUGUACACAGUGUCACAACUUUGACCCAAAGGUCCAGAGCUAUUUAAGGGUGAUUGGCGUAGUACUCGGAGACUGAUUGUAACCAUGAUUUUCAUUAGCUGUUACACCGAUUAUAAGCAUGAGCAGGUGGAAGAUUAGGUUAGUGAGAAGCUUACCUUAAACCCUACCGCCGCCGUUGAAACGAGGCGAGCGUCGAGGGAACCAUGGAGAACGGCGGGGAAGCGACGUCGCGCCAUCCGGCCUCCUCUUGCGGUGGGAGAAUGAAUACUCCUGUGGCUCCGGCUGACUCUGCACCCUCACGAACGGCACACCGUGCUCGAUCGAUUCGUUAUCCUCUGGGUGCUCGACCUUCGACCUGUACGCCCACCACCUCCGCCCGACUUUCGCCUCGGGCGAAUCUGUCUGCUCCAUCGCCCAGAGGAGAUACUCGAUGAACUCGAAGCACUGCGGCGUGACUGCCGCCGAGGAGUACAUGUACAUCGCCGCCCUCAUCGCCGUCGUCUCGCUCUUUCGCAUACAUUGCCACAUGGCCCUCACCGUCCUUGAAAUCUCCCACUCAUUGUCAAACCAAGUAAGGGUCUCCUUCAACCUGGCUAACUUUGCCUGGUCGCUGCCGGUGAUCUGCCUGAUUCGCUGCUGCAUCCUCUCCAUAAAUGUCCUUCUGAGUGGUCCGAUGCUAGCUUUGGAAGAUGGGAGGAGAGACGGUGGUCUUGCAAUAGAGAAGAGGGAGAGGCGAGACGGUUGUUUUGGAAUGGAAAUGAUGGAGAGGACAGGAGGUGGUUUUGCAAUGGAGAAGAGGGAGACGCGACACGGUGGUUUUGGAAUGGAGAUGAUGGAGAGGAGAGACGGUGGUUUUUGAAUGGAGAUGAUGGAGAGGAGAGGAGGUGGUUUUGCAAUAGAGAUGAGGGAGAGGAGCGUGCGCCAGCGAUUUAGGAUUGGACGAGAGGGCCAGCGCGCUGUGACUGGAUCAAAAUCAAAAUCAAUUUACCCUUCAAUUAAGAAAGCGACCCCACAUUAAGUAGUCUCAUUUUUAUUCUGGGCCAUAAUUGACCAUGAUUUUCGCAAAUAAAAUAUAUGUUAUACGUUGCAAAAAUAAUAUAAUUUGAAAGUACAUUCAGAACGAACCAAAUGAUACAAUUUUUGGUGACAUGCAUUCACAUUUUGCUUGUCAAAUACAGUAUGUGGUCAAACUUUGACCCAAAAUACGCAAAACAAAAAAAUACUUCCAAGACCAGCGCCGCUCUUCCGCUCUUCUCCUCUUAAACCACCGCCGCUCCUCUCCUGUUCCAAUCUAAAUCUAGCGCCGCUCCUCUCCUCUUCCAUUUCAAAACCACCGCCCCUCCUCUCCUGUUCCAAUCCAAAAUCAGCGUCGCUCCUCUCCCGUUCUAAUCCAAAACCAGCGCUGCUCCUCUCCUCUUCCAUUCAAAAACCACUGCCGGCGAGUGAAGGUGCUGUGGAGAAGUAGAUCGAUGGAGGAGUACAACCGAUAUGCGAGGAUCGCAGACGGCGACCCUGUGAAGCUAGCUACGAUGUUGGAGAUACAGUCUUGGUUUGACAACAAGGACCAACUAGCGGCGACGACGACGUCCAUGGCCAAAUAUCUGCAACAGAGUGAAAAGGCGGCGAUACUCCCGGAGGGAGUCGCGCGGGAGUACAUAGAGCUGCUCCUCUGGGCUAUGGAGCAAACAGAUUCACCGAAUCCGAUCGUGAGGGAGCGGUGGUGGGUGUAUCGAUCCCAGAUGGAGCAUCUAGCAGAUAUUGAAGGAUCGAGCAUCUACAGGGUGCCGUUUGUGAGGGUGUCGUGCCAGAGCGAGCCGGUGGAGUCUUCGUCGACCGAACCCAACUGCAAGAGGAGAAAAACAGUUGGCCCGAUGGCGCUUCCCCGCCAUCCUCUCCCUCCACGUUCACAUCGUCUCACGGGGCGGCUGUCUGCCGCCGAGGAAUAGGAGGGACUGCCCCCCAGCCCAAUAGUCGGGCAGGUUGUGAAUUGUCAGGAGGAGCUUAGGGUUGUUAGUAUUUGCAGGUUGUGAAUUGUGUGUUGUGUUGUGUAUUUUGAGAUUACUUUCAGAUAUGAAUGUCUUUUGAAUUUCAGAUUUGCAGUAUUGAGCAUAUGAAGUAUUUUAUGAAUUCUAGAGAUCUAUUUUUAGCACUUAAAAAAAUGUAGUUUCAUAGGAGUAUAAAAGUGCAGACAAUGUGAUUCUCAGAGAAGAAACUGCAAGUUUCAGUUUCAGAUAAGAAACUCCAAGUUCAGUUUCAGAUAAGAAACAACAACUUUCAGAGGCAGAGCAUUUAUAUUAACACAGCCUUUUCAAACAGUGUUAACAUCAUGUUGGAAGUUUUAUUCAUGGUCGAAACUGGAACUACCAGCCAGUUAACAUCAUGCUGAUCAACAUUCAUGCAUAGCACAUCUUCAUAUGAUGCACAGUCAAAAAGAUAUGCUAUUUUCAAAAUGCCCACACAAUGUCGAGUGUGCUAAAAACAGAGAAAACGAGGGACGAAGUUUUGGCAAGUGUUGGACGUGGUGUGCGUAGAUGACAAUUGGGACCCACAGGUCAAUAAAGGCAGAGGCAAAAAUUUUGGAGAUAUUUUCUCUGCACAGGUUGAAUCGAACCCGGGCGGAACAACUGUCGGGUAGUAUCACUCGGCCACUAGGCUACUUCAGUUGUUUCGUUAGUAAUAAGGCACUUCCUCAGGCAGUCGGAUCUCCUCCUGCGCCUUUGUGCACUCGCCGCGACGCCGCUGUGUGCCGUUGUGAAUAUGCUGAACAAACGAGAGGAAUCUGGAGAGGACUAUACGUGGAGAGGCGGACAGUCAGGACCCUCCAGGUCUAUGGCCGUACGCAAGCAAGUGCCUCAUCAAAAAAAUACUUCCUCCUAAUGCUAUACUGACGUUGGGGCCCACGGGUUUGUCAACAUAGUUACAUUUUUUAGGUGCUUCAAUGUAGUUACUAUAGGAGAUAAAUUCACAACGAAGUCGGGGAGCUGGUAGGUAUCAUUUAUUAUCACCGGGGCAGCAAGUAUCAGCUGGGUUUUGGGCUGCCCCGUCUAGGCUUUCUUUUUUAACAUGCGCAGCCCACGACCUCGGAUGGGAGGUCCAUAGGCCUAUGGACCUCCCAUCCGAGGUUUUAUUUUUCCUGAAACAUCAUCAGCAAAAUUUAUAUUUUUUUUUGAAGAAAACGCAGAGGUCUGUUCUAUUUUUCUAAAUAAGAAUAGGAACGCCUGGUCCAACUUAUGUUUCCCUUCUAACUAUAUUAUAUAUAUUUAAAUUAUUUUAUAUGUUAUUAUAUAUUAUUCUUAUUGUCAUCAUAUAUUUAACAAAUACUUACAUAUGUAAGAAAACAAUAUCCCACAUCUUAUUAACUUAUAACAAUAAUUUCUUAACAAUAAAAUCCUGGAUUUUUUUGGCAAUGAAAAUCCUGGUGAUUGUGUACAAAAGCUUGGUAAGAUUUAAGGACCAAUGUAAUAAUAAAUCACUUAUUUUAUAUAUAUAUAUAUAUAUAUAUAUAUAACAAAAUGCUCAGCCCCUGUUUUUUUUAUAACAUUGUUGCGCCCACCCCAACAUUAUAAUUAGAAUCAGCCCAGCAAAAUCGUGUAUUUCGAGAAAGUGCAAAUGGCCUGUAAUUUUUUAGGAAAAACAUAAAUGGGCCGCAUGGACGCUACAUUAUUUGUUCACCCAGCCCAGCUAAUGAACUGUAAUUCAAAAAAAAGAGAUCAAAUUGACUCUAGAUUCUACCCCGCAAAAAAAGACUGUCUCUGAAAAAAUGGGUUGAAUACGUGCUACAUUUUUGGAGGCUGAAAUGUGGGCCAAUAGGUCGAAGCCAAUGCAAGUCGUUGUCAACUUAGUCAACAAAUGAUUCUGACAUCGUUAGCCGUUGGAUUUACAUCCAACGACCGACAUCCAUCUUCAAUCUCUCGUCUUCUUCCUCCAGCGCCGCCGGGACCACCUGCUCCCGCCUCCUGCUGCUAGCAGCUCUGCUUAGCAUGCUUCGUUGUGAAGCGCUACUCCACCGUUGGCCAGGCCAUCCCUCCACCCCUCCACACCUCAUGUUCUUCUCCACCGACUGCCCAACCACACCGCACCAGAACCAGUUAACCCUCGUACACCUCUCCGUCUGCGACUCUACUCCCGCGUCUUCCCAUCUCUGGCUCGUUGCUAUCCGAGGCCUCCCCGUCGUCCACCACCUUGGAUGCGCUUGGUGCGGAGUGGUCAACUUGGUCAAUGAACGACACCAUCGGAAGUAGACUGUGCGUGGAGAGGCUGACAGUUGGGUCCACGGCCACACGCAAGGAAAUGCCUCCUUAUUACACGCAAAAUAAUGAUUCCUCCACCUGACAGCUGGGACCCACCGGAAGGGCCUCUGUAUUUCGUGAAAAAAAACGUUCCCACCGCUGACAGGUCGGACCCACCAGUUAUAUCUUCGCACGCAAGGAAGUGCCUCCUUAUUACGCACAAAAAAAUGAAUACCUCCUGCUAGCUGGGACCCACAAUAGUGGUAGGCUGACUUGUGGGCCAACUAAGUUGACGGGGAUGGAGGGCUUUGUCAACUUAGUCAAUAUGAACGAUUCUAGCUCAAGUGACCGUACGAUGUCCAUCCAACGGCCGUAGUGCUUCUUCAACCUCUGGUCUUCCUGCUCCAGCCGCCCAAACCAGCGUCGGUCGUGCCUCGUACUCCUGCCUCCCGUGGCCGGCUGCGAUGCCGCGGAGACCUCACCGCCCCCUACUACUCCCACUGCUGGCCAGGCCAUCCCUCUACUCACCCACACCUCCUGUUAUUCUGCGGCGACGACAGCCUCACACCGCAGCGAACCAGUGAACCCUCAUACUCCUCUACGCAUGGGCAUCCACUGCCGCGUCUUCCCCGGCUCCGUGUCGUCCCUUUCCUAGGACUCGCCGUCGUCCACCGCCCUGGUGCUCUCGGCGCGGCGUGGUCAACGUGGUCAAGGAACGGCUUCCAUCGGGCGUGGACUGUACGUGGAGAGGCUGACAGCUGGGUCCACGGCCGCAGCAAAGAAGUGCCUACUUAUUACGCGGAAAAUAAUAAUUCGUCCACCUGACAGCAGGGACCCACCGGACGGGCAACCUUAUUUCACGAAAAAAACGUUUCCCCCUGACUUCUGGGACCUACCAGCGACAUCUUCACACGCAAGGAAGUGCGUCCGGGCAAAAAAAACGAUUCGCCCCCCUGACUGCUGGGACCCACCAGCUACAUCUUCGCACGCAAGGAAGUGCCUGACAGUCGGGACCCACCUGGUCGAAGCGUAGGUAACGUUGUUAUUUUGGUCGCGAACGUGUACAUACAUACCGGUUGAUGUAGAGGCGCGCAUGUGUCGUAGUAGAGGUGCGCACGUAGCAUGUACACGUACGUACAGCGGCCAGUGUGCAAGAAAGAAAAUACGGCCACGUACAUACAUACGGGCAGGGUCUCGAACGCCUACUCGCGCAUACGUACGGCCAGGGCUCGUGUACAUGGCUGGGUCAGAACGGAGAAACAGCGUCGUCGUCGUGUUCAUGGGGAGCCAACCGGCUGGGUCGGAAUGGAAUGCGUCGCGUGUUCAUCGGGAGGGCUUGGACGGAACAGCCGAUGGAAACGAGGCCUGGCGUACCGCAGAACGGAGGAAACGGCCUUGUGUUCGACCGGCCACGUUCGAAACGGGAUCCUGUUCAUCGGGAGGGGUCUGGCGUACCGCAAAACGGGACUCCACGGGAUACUGUUCAUCUCCACCGUCGACCCCCUCCAGCCUCCACGGGCUACUGUUCAUCCACCGUCGACCUCCUCCAGCCUCCACCUGCGACUGUUCAUCCACGGGCUCCUGUUCAUCCAGCCUCCACCGCGCGCUACUCCACCGGCUACUGUUCAACCAGCCCUCUCCACGGGCUCCUGUUCAACCACCCCUCCACGGGCUACUGUUCAUCCAGCCCUCCACCAUCUACUGUUCAUCUAGCCCUCCACGGGGUGGUCCUGUUCAUCCAGCCCUCCACGGGGUCCUGUUCAUCCAGCCCCAACCGGCUCGAUCGAUCGGGGUCCUGUUCAUCCAGAGGCAACACCACGGGGUCCUGUUCAUCCACCCCCACGGGGAACUGUUCAUCCAAACCCCCAGCAAUGCUCACUGUUCAUCCAGAGCCAGCAUCAAUCGACUUCAGUUAGCAGCAGUAGCGAAGGAAUCGCUCGAUCGGGUUCAGUUAACAGCCAUCGAUCGAUCGCUCGGGUUCAGUAACGCGUAGCCUGUAGUGCAAUCGUUCGGGUUCAGUUAGAGCCCAACGCCUCGCUCGGGUUCCGUUAGAGCCCAAAGCCUCGCACCCACAUGCGUGCGUGUACGAGAGAAACGCGCAUUGCUCGGCCCCGACCACCCACCGUAACCGGGAACACCCCGAUAUUUUCCUCGCCCUCGCUUCUACCACGGUUUUUUCCGUCAUGGACGGCCCAAAGAAUGUCAUGCAGCUGUUGGGGAACGUAGUAAUUUCAAAAUUUUCCUACGCACACGCAAGAUCAUGGUGAUGCAUAGCAACGAGAGGGGAGAGUGUUGUCCACGUACCCUCGUAGACCGACAGCGGAGGCGUUAUCACAACGCGGUUGAUGUAGUCGUACGUCUUCACGAUCCGACCGAUCAAGUACCAAACGUACGGCACCUCCGAGUUCUACACACGUUCAGCUUGAUGACGUCCCUCGAACUCCGAUCCAGCCGAGUGUUGAGGGAGAGUUUCGUCAGCACGACGGCGUGGUGAUGAUGAUGAUGUUCCACCGACGCAGGGCUUCGCCUAAUCUCCGCAACGGUAUUAUCGAGGUGUAAUAUGGUGGAGGGGGGCACCGCACACGGCUAAGAGAUCUCAAGGAUCAAUUGUUGUGUCUCUGGGGUGCCCCCUGCCCCCGUAUAUAAAGGAGCAAGGGGGAGGCAGCCGGCCAAGAGGAGAGGCGCGCCAUAGGGGGGAGUCCUACUCCCACCGGGAGUAGGACUCCUCCUUUCCUUGUGGGAGUAGGAGAAGGGAAGGGGGAAGGAGAAAGAAGGAAGGGUGCGCCCCCCUUCCCUAGUCCAAUUCGGACUAGACCAUGGGGAGGGGUGCGGCCACCUUUUGAGGCCUUUCUCUCCUUUCCCGUAUGGCCCAUUAAGGCCCAAUACGAAUUCCCGUAACUCUCCGGUACUCCGAAAAAUACCCGAAUCACUCGGAACCUUUCCGAAGUCCGAAUAUAGUCGUCCAAUAUAUCGAUUUUUACGUCUCGACCAUUUCGAGAUUCCUCGUCAUAUCCCCGAUCUCAUCCGGGACUCCGAACUCCUUCGGUACAUCAAAACUCAAUAAAACUGUCAUCGUAACGUUAAGCAUGCGGACCCUACGGGUUCGAGAACUAUGUAGACAUGACGGAGACACGUCUCCGGUCAAUAACCAAUAGCGGGACCUGGAUGCCCAUAUUGGCUCCCACAUAUUCUACGAAGAUCUUUAUCGGUCAGACCGCAUAACAACAUACGUUGUUCCCUUUGUCACCGGUAUGUUACUUGCCCGAGAUUUGAUCGUCGGUAUCUCGAUACCUAGUUCAAUCUCGUUACCGGCAAGUCUCUUUACUCGUUCCGUAAACACAUCAUCCCGCAACUAACUCAUUAGUCACAAUGGUUGCAAGGCUUAUAGUGAUGUGCAUUACCGAGUGGGCCCAGAGAUACCUCUCCGACAAUUGGAGUGACAAAUCCUAAUCUCGAAAUACGCCAACCCAACAAGUACCUUUGGAGACACCUGUAGAGCACCUUUAUAAUCACCCAUUUACGUUGUGACGUUUGGUAGCACACAAAGUGUUCCUCCGGUAAACGGGAGUUGCAUAAUCUCAUAGUCAUAGGAACAUGUAUAAGUCAUGAAGAAAGCAAUAGCAACAUACUAAACGAUCGAGUGCUAAGCUAACGGAAUGGGUCAAGUCAAUCACGUCAUUCUCCUAAUGAGGUGAUCUCGUUAAUCAAAUGACAACUCAUGUCUAUGGCUAGGAAACAUAACCAUCUUUGGUUAACGAGCUAGUCAAGUAGAGGCAUACUAGUGACACUCUGUUUGUCUAUGUAUUCACACAUGUAUUAUGUUUCCGGUUAAUACAAUUCUAGCAUGAAUGAUAAACAUUUAUCAUGAUAUAAGGAAAUAUAUAAUACUUUAUUAUUGCCUCUAGGGCAUAUUUCCUUCAGUCUCCCACUUGCACUAGAGUCAAUAAUCUAGUUCACAUCGCCAUGUGAUUUAACAUCAAUAAUUCACAUCACCAUGUGAUUAACACCCAUAGUUCACAUCUCUAUGUGACCAACACUCAAAGGGUUUACUAGAGUCAAUAAUCUAGUUCACAUCGCUAUGUGAUUAACACCCAAAGAGUACUAAGGUGCGAUCAUGUUUUGAUUGUGAGAUAAUUUUAGUCAACGGGUCUGUCACAUUCAGAUCCGUAAGGAUUUUGCAAAUUUCUAUGUCUACAAUGCUCUGCACGGAGCUACUCUAGCUAAUUGCUCCCACUUUCAAUAUGUAUCUAGACCGAGACUUAGAGUCAUCUAGAUUUAGUGUCAAAACUUGCAUCGACGUAACCCUUUACGACGAACCUAUUGUCACUUCCAUAAUCGAGAAACAUUUCCUUAUUCCACUAAGGAUAAUUUUGACCGCUGUCCAGUGAUCUACUCCUAGAUCACUAUUGUACUCCCUUGCCAAAAUUAGUGUAGGGUAUACAAUAGAUCUGGUACACAGCAUGGCAUACUUUAUAGAACCUAUGGCCAAGGCAUAGGGAAUGACUUUCAUUCUCUUUCUAUCUUCUGCCGUGGUCGGGCUUUGAGUCUUUACUCAAUUUCACACCUUGUAACACAGGCAAGAACUCUUUCUUUGACUGUUCUAUUUUGAACUACUUCAAAAUCUUGUUAAGGUAUGUACUCAUUGAAAAACUUAUCAAGCGUCUUCAUCUAUCUCUAUAGAUCUUGAUGCUCAAUAUGUAAGCAGCUUCACCGAGGUCUAUCUUUGAAAAACUCCUUUCAAACACUCCUUUAUGCUUUGCAGAAUAAUUCUACAUUAUUUCUGAUUAACAAUAUGUCAUUCACAUAUACUUAUCAGAAAUGUUGUAGUGCUCCCACUCACUUUCUUGUAAAUACAGGCAUCACCGGAAGUCUGUAUACAACUAUAUGCUUUGAUCAACUUAUCAAAGCGUAUAUUCCAACUCCGAGAUGCUUGCACCAGUCCAUUGAUGGAUCGCUGGAGCUUGCAUAUUUUGUUAGCACCUUUAGGAUUGACAAAACCUUCUGGUUGCAUCAUAUACAACUGUUCUUUAAUAAAUCCAUUAAGGAAUGCAGUUUUGUUUAUCCCUUUGCCAGAUUUCAUAAAAUGCGGCAAUUGCUAACAUGAUUCGGACAGACUUAAGCAUAGAUACGAGUGAGAAACUCUCAUCGUAGUCAACAUCUUGAACUUGUCGAAAAGCUUUUUGCGACAAUUCUAGCUUUGUAGAUAGUGACACUACUAUCAGCGUCCGUCUUCCUCUUGAAGAUCCAUUUAAUCUCAAUGGCUCGCCGAUCAUUGGGCAAGUCAAUCAAAGUCCAUACUUUGUUCUCAUAUAUGGAUCUUAUCUCAGAUUUCAUGGCCUCAAGCCAUUUUGUGGAAUCUGGGCUCACCAUCGCUUCUUCAUAGUUCGUAGGUUCGUCAUGGUCUAGUAACAUAACCUCCAGAACAGGAUUACCGUACCACUCUGGUGUGGAUCUUACUCUGGUUGACCUACGAGGUUCAUCAUCAUUAACUUCCUCACUAAUUGGUGUAGGAGUCACAGGAACAGAUUUCUGUGAUGAACUACUUUCCAAUAAGGGAGCAGGCAUAGUUACCUCAUCAAGUUCUACUUUCCUCCCACUCACUUCUUUCGAGAGAAACUCCUUCUCUAGAAAGGAUCCAUUCUUAGGAACGAAUAUCUUGCCUUCGGAUCUGUGAUAGAAGGUGUACCAAUAGUCUCCUUUGGGUAUCCUAUGAAGACACAUUUCUCCGAUUUAGGUUCGAGCUUGUCAGGAUGAAACCUUUUCACAUAAGCAUCACAACUCCAAACUUUAAGAAACGACAACUUUGGUUUCUUGCCAAACCACAGUUCAUAAGAUGUCGUCUCAACGGAUUUAGAUGGUACCCUAUUUAACGUGAAUGCAGCUGUCUCUAAUGCAUAACCCCAAAAAUGAUAGUGGUAGAUCGGUAAGAGACAUCAUAUAUCGCACCAUAUCUAAUAAAGUACGGUUACGAUGUUCGGACACACCAUUACACUGUGGUGUUCCAGGUGGCGUGAGUAGUGAAACUAUUUCACAUUGUUUUAACUGAAGGCCAAACUCGUAACUCAAAUAUUUUACCUCUGCGAUCAUAUCGUAGAAACUUUUAUUUUCUUGUUACGAUGAUUCUACACUUCACUCUGAAAUUCUUUGAACUUUUCAAAUGUUUCAGACUUGUGUUUCAUCAAGUAGAUAUACCCAUAUCUGCUCAAAUCAUCUGUGAAGGUCAGAAAAUAAUGAUACCUGCUACGAGCCUCAAUAUUCAUCGGGCCACAUACAUCUGUAUGUAUGAUUUCCAACAAAUCUGUUGCUCUCUCCAUAGUACCGGAGAACGGCGUUUUAGUCAUCUUGCCCAUGAGGCACGGUUCGCAAGCAUCAAGUGAUUCAUAAUCAAGUGAUUCCAAAAUCCCAUCAGUAUGGAGUUUCUUCAUGCGCUUUACACCAAUAUGACCUAAAUGGCGGUGCCACAAAUAAGUUGCACUAUCAUUAUUAACUUUGCAUCUUUUGGUUUCAAUAUUAUGAUUAUGUGUAUCACUACAAUCGAGAUCCAACAAACCAUUUUCGUUGGUGUGUAUGACCAUAGAAGGUUUUUAUUCAUGUAAACAGAACAACAAUUGUUCUCUAACUUAAAUGAAUAACAGUAUUGCAAUAAACAUGAUCAAAUCAUAUUCAUGCUCAACGCAAACACCAAAUAACACUUAUUUAGUUUCAACACUAAUCCCGAAAGUAUAGGGAGUGUGCGAUGAUGAUCAUAUCAAUCUUGGAACUACUUCCAACACACAUCGUCACCUCGCCUUUUACUAGUCUCUGUUUAUUCUGCAACUCCCGUUUUCGAGUUACUACUUUUUAGCAACUGAACCAGUAUCAAAUACUGAGGGGUUGCUAUAAACACUAGUAAGUACACAUCAAUAACAUGUAUAUCCAAUAUACCUUUGUUCACUUUGCCAUCCUUCUUAUCCACCAAAUAGUUAGGGUAGUUCCGCUUCCAGUGACCAGUCCCUUUGCAGUAGAAGCACUUAGUCUCAGGCUUAGGACCAGACUUAGGCUUCUUCACUUGAGCAGCAACUUGCUUGCCGUUCUUCUUGAAGUUCCCCUUCUUCCAUUUGCCCUUUUCUUGAAACUAGUGGUCUCGUCAACCAUCAACACUUGAUGUUUUUCUUGAUUUCUACCUUCGUCGAUUUCAGCAUCACGAAGAGCUCGGGAAUUACUUUCGUCAUCCCUUGCAUACUAUAGUUCAUCACGAAGCUCUUGUAGCUUGGUGGCAGUGAUUGAAGAAUUCUGUCAACGACGCAAUCAUCCGGAAGUUGAACUCCCAGUUGAAUCAAGUGAUUAUUAUACCCAGACAUUCUGAGUAUAUGCUCACUGACAGAACCAUUCUCUUCCAUUUUGCAGCUAUAGAACUUAUUGGAGACUUCAUAUCUCUCAAUCCGGGCAUUUGCUUGAAAUAUUAACUUCAACUCCUGGAACAUCUCAUAUGCUCCAUGACGUUCAAAACGUCAUUGAAGUCCCGGUUCUAAGCCGUAAAGCAUGGCACACUGAACUAUUGAGUAGUCAUCAGCUUUGCUUUGCCAGACAUUCAUAACAUCUGGUGUUGCUCCUGCAGCAGGCCUGGCACCCAGCGGUGCUUCCAGGACGUAAUUCUUCUGUGCAGCAAUGAGGAUAAUCCUCAAGUUACGGACCCAGUCCGUGUAAUUGCUACCAUCAUCUUUCAACUUUGCUUUCUCAAGAAACACAUUAAAAUUCAACGGAACAACAGCACGGGGCAUCUAUCUACAAUUAACAUAGACAAGCAAAAUACUAUCAGGUACUAAGUUCAUGAUAAAUUCAAGUUCAAUUAAUCAUAUUACUUAAGAACUCCCACUUAGAUAGACAUCCCUCUAAUCCUCUAAGUGACCACGUGAUCCAUAUCAACUAAACCAUGUCCGAUCAUCACGUGAGAUGGAGUAGUUUCAAUGGUGAACAUCACUAUGUUGAUCAUAUCUACUAUAUGAUUCACGCUCGACCUUUCGGUCUCCGUGUUCCGAGGCCAUAUCUGUUAUAUGCUAGGCUCGUCAAGUUUAACCUGAGUAUUCCGCGUGUGCAACUGUUUUGCACCCGUUGUAUUUGAACGUAGAGCCUAUCACACCCGAUCAUCACGUGGUGUCUCAGCACGAAGAACUUUCGCAACGGUGCAUACUCAGGGAGAACACUUAUACUUUGAUAAUUUAGUGAAGGAUCAUCUUAUAAUGCUACCGUCAAACAAAGCAAGAUAAGAUGCAUAAAGGAUUAACAUCACAUGCAAUCAAUAUAAGUGAUAUGAUAUGGCCAUCAUCAUCUUGUGCUUGUGAUCUCCAUCUCCGAAGCACCGUGCUUGUGAUCUCCAUCUCCGAAGCACCGUCAUGAUCACCAUCGUCACCGGCGCGACACCUUGAUCUCCAUCGUAGUAUCGUUGUCGUCUCGCCAACUAAUUACUUUUACUACUAUCGCUACCGCUUAGUGAUAAAGUAAAACUAUUACAUGGCGAUUGCAUUUCAUACAAUAAAGCGACAACCAUAUGGCUCCUGCCAGUUGCCGAUAACUCGAUUACAAAACAUGAUCAUCUCAUACAACAAAUUAUAUCACAUCAUGUCUUGACCAUAUCACAUCACAACAUGCCCUGCAAAAACAAGUUAGACGUCCUCUAUUUUGUUGUUGCAAGUUUUACGUGGCUGCUACGGGCUUAGCAAGAACCGUUCUUACCUACGCAUCAAAACCACAACGAUAGUUUGUCAAGUUGGUGCUGUUUUAACCUUCGCAAGGACCGGGCGUAACCAUACUCGGUUCAACUAAAGUGAGAGAGACAGACACCCGCCAGUCACCUUUAAGCAACGAGUGCUCGCAACGGUGAAACCAGUCUCGCGUAAGCGUACGCGUAAUGUCGGUCCGGGCCGCUUCAUCUCACAAUACCACUGAUCCAAAGUAUGACAUGCUGGUAAGCAGUAUGACUUAUAUCGCCCACAACUCACUUGUGUUCUACUCGUGCAUAGCAUCAACGCAUAAAACCUGGCUCGGAUGCCACUGUUGGGGAACGUAGUAAUUUCAAAAUUUUCCUACGCACACGCAAGAUCAUGGUGAUGCAUAGCAACGAGAGGGGAGAGUGUUGUCCACGUACCCUCGUAGACCGACAGCGGAAGCGUUAUCACAACACGGUUGAUGUAGUCGUACGUCUUCACGAUCCGACCGAUCGAGUACCGAACGUACGGCACCUCCGAGUUCUACACACGUUCAGCUCGAUGACGUCCCUCGAACUCCGAUCCAGCCAAGUGUUGAGGGAGAGUUUCGUCAGCACGACGGCAUGGUGACGAUGAUGAUGUUCCACCGACGCAGGGCUUCGCCUAAGCUCCGCAACGGUAUUAUCGAGGUGUAAUAUGGUGGAGGGGGGCACCGCACACGGCUAAGAGAUCUCAAGGAUCAAUUGUUGUGUCUCUGGGGUGCCCCCUGCCCCCGUAUAUAAAGGAGCAAGGGGGAGGCAGCCGGCCAAGAGGAGAGGCGCGCCAUAGGGGGGAGUCCUACUCCCACCGGGAGUAGGACUCCUCCUUUCCUUGUGGGAGUAGGAGAAGGGAAGGGGGAAGGAGAAAGAAGGAAGGGUGCGCCCCCCUUCCCUAGUCCAAUUCGGACUAGACCAUGGGGAGGGGUGCGGCCACCUUUUGAGGCCUUUCUCUCCUUUCCCGUAUGGCCCAUUAAGGCCCAAUACGAAUUCCCGUAACUCUCCGGUACUCCGAAAAAUACCCGAAUCACUCGGAACCUUUUCGAAGUCCGAAUAUAGUCGUCCAAUAUAUCGAUUUUUACGUCUCGACCAUUCGAGACUCCUCGUCAUAUCCCCGAUCUCAUCCGGGACUCCGAACUCCUUCGGUACAUCAAAACUCAAUAAAACUGUCAUCGUAACGUUAAGCGUGCGGACCCUACGGGUUCGAGAACUAUGUAGACAUGACCGAGACACGUCUCCGGUCAAUAACCAAUAGCGGGACCUGGAUGCCCAUAUUGGCUCCCACAUAUUCUACGAAGAUCUUUAUCGGUCAGACCGCAUAACAACAUACGUUGUUCCCUUUGUCACCGGUAUGUUACUUGCCCGAGAUUUGAUCGUCGGUAUCUCGAUACCUAGUUCAAUCUCGUUACCGGCAAGUCUCUUUACUCGUUCCGUAACACAUCAUCCCGCAACUAACUCAUUAGUCACAAUGCUUGCAAGGCUUAUAGUGAUGUGCAUUACCGAGUGGGCCCAGAGAUACCUCUCCGACAAUUGGAGUGACAAAUCCUAAUCUUGAAAUACGCCAACCCAACAAGUACCUUUGGAGACACCUGUAGAGCACCUUUAUAAUCACCCAUUUACGUUGUGACGUUUGGUAGCACACAAAGUGUUCCUCCGGUAAAUGGGAGUUGCAUAAUCUCAUAGUCAUAGGAACAUGUAUAAGUCAUGAAGAAAGCAAUAGCAACAUACUAAACGAUCGAGUGGUAAGCUAACGGAAUGGGUCAAGUCAAUCACGUCAUUCUCCUAAUGAGGUGAUCUCGUUAAUCAAAUGACAACUCAUGUCUAUGGCUAGGAAACAUAACCAUCUUUGAUUAACGAGCUAGUCAAGUAGAGGCAUACUAGUGACACUCUGUUUGUCUAUGUAUUCACACAUGUAUUAUGUUUCCGGUUAAUACAAUUCUAGCAUGAAUGAUAAACAUUUAUCAUGAUAUAAGGAAAUAUAUAAUACUUUAUUAUUGCCUCUAGGGCAUAUUUCCUUCAGCAGCUGCGUCUCCGGCCCGCCCAGGACGAAAAGCCCAUUUUUUGUCAUGAUUUUUUGUCAUAGAAGUAGGAGCCCACCACAUCUAUGAUGAUACCGGGUUUUGUCACAAUUAUCGUCAUAGAAGUGUCAUAAGUAUGACAUCAAUUUUUUCCGUUCGGCCCAAAAUGUCACGGAUGUGUCUUUUUUUGUAGUGGUGGUUCAGAUACCGCGGUUGAACCGGUUCUACAACCGGUAGUACCGCUCCGGCGGUUGUACCGCCCAUGGAGGCAGUAGAACCGCUGGGAAAGCGGCACUACGAGUUGGAGAAGGGCUGACCACGAGAUUUGAAUCAACAUAACCAUUUUCUAACUUCUAAGAAAUGCAGACUAAGCAAGAGGCAUAAAUGGAUCUCUUCCACCCAAUAGUUUGAACAAUAAACGCGGAAUGUUAAGUAAUGCCCUAGAAGUAGGGAAAGAACCCUAGAAUGAAGAAUGAAGGAAAUGGGGCAUUACCGGCAUCCAUGGGAAGAGAUCGGGAAGGAGGGGGCUUCCACGGAGAGAAUCCACGGAGAGCCCACGGAUCCGGAGUGCGAAGAGCACUCCGGGGCAGGGGCAAUGCCGACCGGCGGCUAGGGCACGAGAUGGCGAAGGACAGGGGAGGAGGGGAAAAUAAAACCCUUCAGCCCUGUCACUAUAUAUAUGCGCGCAGACGCGAAGCGGUUGUACCGCUUCCUGGUACGUGCUAGCGGUUGCGGGCGGUACUUCCAUCGCCUAGAAGGCAGCGGUAGUACCGCCUGUAACCAACUGGUAGUACCGGCCAGAAGCACAACCUGGGGUCGAGUGGUGAACCGCUCAAGCACCACUGGGAGUCCUCCUGGGACGGUACAACCCGAGUGUACCAGCGGUUGAACCGCUCGGGACACCGGUUGUACCGCCCAGUCAGCAUUACCCGAACCAAGAUCAAAUGUGUGCAAUUGGAUUAGAUGGUUUUAGGAGAAGGAGAAAGGCUUGGGAUGGAGCACGACACUGGAAUAUGGUGUGGUGACCUCCAAGAGGGCACAAGGCAACCAAACGGGAGAAACCACAACUUGGAGACCACAACACCUAGGACCUAACACAAGACUACGGCAAGAACCAAAGGAAAACCAAAGCCAACUCCCUUCAAAAGGGAGGGCGGUGGCCGAGGCCACCUAUGUUUGAGUGUAAGGUAUGGCAUCGCAAAGAUUUUAACCUUGGGCCCAUGACCAAAAAUCAUCUUUGAAGCACAAGUACCAUAAAAAAUGGCUGAUGUGAAAUAUUAGAUUAAUUUAUGCAUAAUGGGGGGAGGGAGAGUUCAUUGAGAGAACAACACUCCCCCUAUGUCCAUGCCUACACCUAAACAAGAUAACAAGUUGAGUAUGGUGGGGUGUGCAAGGGUUCAAGUAACAUUGCUCGAAUCAAUGAUAUUUAGCUCAUGCCUUAACUCGCGAAAUCUUGCUUCAUCCAAGGGCUUCGUGAAGAUAUCUGUAAGGUCAUCAUGAGUGUUGACAUAGUUGAGCUCGAUCUCCCCUCGCCUAAUAUGAUCCCGGAUGAAGUGAUAUAAUCUCAAUGUUCUUCGUCUUGAAGUGUUGCACCGGGUUGAGAGAAAUCUUGAUGGCACUUUCAUUGUCACACAAAAGAGGCACUUUGUCACAAAUGACACCAUAAUCCUUUAAAGAAUAGAAGUUGUGCACAACAACUACCUGCGGCCAAAUACUCUGCUUCGGUGGACGAGAGAGAUACACAACUUUUCUUCUUAGAGACCAACUCACCAAAGAGCAACCAGGGAAUUGGCACCCUCCGGAAGUUGACUUCCUAUCCACUUUAUCUCCCGCCCAAUCAGAGUCCGAAUAGCCUACAAGGUUGAAGCUUGCUCCUCUUGGGUACCAUAAGCCAAAGUUUGGGGUAUGAGCCAAAUAUCGAAAGAUUCGCUUGACCGCCACAAAGUGGCUUUCCUUAGGUGCGGCUUGAAAUCGUGCACAAAUUCCCACACUCAACAUGAUAUCCGAUCUAGAUGCACAAAGGUAAAGCAAGGAGCCAAUCAUGGAGCGAUAUACCUUUUGAUCCACCGCUUUACCAUUGGGAUCUAUGUCAAGUUGGCAUUUGACGGGCAUUGGAGUGGAAGCCGGCUUGACAUCACUUAGCUUGAAUCUCUUGAGCAUGUCUUGAGUGUAUUUGGCUUGGUUGAUGAAGGUUCCUUCUCUUCGUAGCUUGACUUCGAACCCGAGAAAGAACUUCAACUCUCCCAUCAUGGACAUCUUGAACUCUGAGGUCAUGAGAGCGGCAAAUUCCUCAUUGAAAGCUUUGUUAGGAGAACCAAAGAUAAUGUCAUCAACAUAUAGUUGGCACACAAACAACUCCCCUUUGACCUUCUUAGUAAAAAGAGUGGGGUCGAUUUUCCCAAUUUCAAACCCACGAUCUUGCAACAACUCGGUAAGGUGGUCAUACCACGCACGUGGGGCUUGUUUAAGGCCAUAGAGUGCCUUAUCAAGUUGGUACACAUGAUCGGGGAAAUAGGGAUCCUCGAACCCGGGGGGGUUGUUUGACAUACACCAACUCAUUAAUAGGACCAUUAAGAAAAGCACUCUUCACAUCCAUUUUUUGCAACUUGAAGUUAUGAUGAGAAGCAUAAGAAAUCAACAAACGAAUAGAUUCAAGGCGAGCAACGGGAGCAAAGGUUUCACCGUAGUCGAUACCCUCGACUUGGGAGUAGCUUUGUGCUACCAAGCGAGCCUUGUUGCGGACAAUAAUUCCAUGAGCAUCUUGCUUGUUCUUGAAUAUCCACUUGGUUCGAAUGACAUUAUGGUUCCCCGUUGGCCUUGGCACUAAUCUCCACACCUUGUUGUGCUCGAAGUUUUUGAGUUCUUCAUGCAUGGCAUUAAGCCAAUCCGGAUCUUCGAGCGCCUCAUAGACCUUUUGGGGUUCAACACAAGAGACAAACACGUGAUGUUCACAAUAGUUUGCCAAUUGUCUACGAGUGCUUACCCCCUUUCUUAUGCUUCCAAGCACAUUUGUCAUGAGAUGACCCUUGGUAGAUAGCUUGGAUGCAAUCUUGGCAGCACGACGCUCCAAUUCCUCCUCAGGAGUGAGUUGAGGAGCGGUUAUUUGAUCAUCUCGAGCGUCGUCAUGAGCUUGUUCUUGAUCUUGAGCUUGCUCGUGAUCUUGAACUUGCUCGGAGGAGAGAACUUGACCUUGGGCAUCACUUGGUGGUUCAACACCAUCUUGAGGUUGAUCUUGCCCUUGGUCUGGUUCAUGAUGUUGAGGGCCUUCACUUUGCUCUUCGGAAGCGUGUGGGCCUUGGGUUGGUGAUGGUUCCACUUUAGUGGAACAUUGUCCUUCUCCUUCGGCCACAAGGGGUUCCUCAAUGGGUAGGAUAAAACCAACACCCAUUCUUCUUAUGGCUUGGGGAGGAAUUUCAUCACCUACAUCACAAGUGCCACUUUGCUCCACUUGGGAGCCGUUAUUCGCAUCAAACUCCACGUUACACGUCUCCUCAAUAAGUCUCGUGGACUUAUUGAGGACACGGUAAGCAUGAGAGUUUGUAGCAUAACCAACAAAUAUGCCCUCUUGAGCUCUAGCCUCAAAUUUAGACAAACGAACACCUUUCUUGAGAAUGAAACACUUACACCCGAACACCCGAAAGUACUUGAGGUUGGGCUUGUUACCGGUGAGUAUCACAUAUGGAGUCUUGUUCAAGCCUUUGCGGAGAUAGAGCCGAUUGGAUGCAUGACAUGCAGUGUUGAUGGCUUCGGCCCAAAAGUUGUAUGGAGACUUGAACUCCGCCAUCAUGGUCCUUGCCGCAUCCAUCAACGUCCGGUUCUUCCUCUCCGCUACACCAUUUUGUUGAGGGGUGUAAGGUGCGGAAUAUUGAUGCUUGAUCCCCUCAUCACUAAGAAACUCAUCCAAGGUGUAGUUCUUGAACUCGGUGCCGUUGUCACUCCUUAUUGUCAAGAUCUUUGCAUCGUGCUGGCGUUGGGCUUCAUUUGCAAAGUCAACGACGGUUUGUUGGGUCUCACUCUUCCUCUUGAAGAAGUACACCCAAGUGUAUCUUGAAUACUCAUCCACAAUCACCAAGCAAUACUUUCUACCCCCAAGACUAUCAAAGGAUGGAGGCCCAAAGAGAUCCAAGUGAAGGAGCUCCAAAGGCCUCUUUGAGUAAAUGAUAGUCGUGGGAGGGUGAGCCUUCUCAUGUAACUUUCCUUCAAUACAAGCACUGCAAGCAUGAUCUUUGGCAAAACUAACAUUUGUUAGUCCACGGACAUGGUCCCCCUUGAGAAGACUUUGCAAAGAUCUCAUAUUGACAUGGGCUAAAUGGCGAUGCCAAAGCCAUCCCACGUCAACUUUAGCCAUUAGGCAUGUCGCGGUCUUAGUGGGUCGCUCCGAAAAGUUAAUCACAUAGAGACCGUUCUCGACAUGCCCAAAAAAGCUAAUUUAAGAGUCUUGCUCCACAAGAGGGCCACUGUAUCAAUAUCAAAGAAAGUGGCAAAGCCCAUGAUUGCAAGUUGACGAACGGAAAGUAAAUUGUAUGCAAGGGACUCAACAAGCAUGACCUUCUCGAUCAUGAGAUAAUGAGAAAUGACAACCUUGCCAAGUCCCGGUAUCUUAGAGGACGAGGCAUCACCCCACUCGACAUUGGUGGGCAUAGAUGGAAUCUUGUGCAUGUCCACCACCAAGUCCUUGCUUCCGGUCAUAUGAUAGUGGCUCCACUAUAGAGCAACCAUGAUCCCCACCGGAAGCAAACACCUACAAGAGAUCCAUGCUUGGUUUUAGGUACCCAUUUUGUAAUGGGUCAUUUGAUGUUAGUGACAAGGGUCUUAGGAACCCAAAUAGACCAUUCAAUGUACUCAUACGGAGAACCAACAAAUUUAGCAUAAACAUGCCCAUCACUAGCACGGCAUAACACAUAGGAAGGGUUAAAGUCGCCGGGUUGGAAGGGGUGGCAUUGCCCUUCUUGACACCACCACCCUUCACAUUGUUCUUCUUCUCCUUAGAGGCAUCCUCUCCCUCUUUGACAAAAGUUUGCUUGAGAGGAGGAGGUUGUUUGGCCUUGUCAUUCUUCUUCUUGUUCUUGGACUUGGGUGAGAACCCAAUCCCUUCCUUGGGCACAACUUCCUUUUGAUUACUCAAAAGGUCAUUGAGUUUCUUCUCACCUUGUAUGCACGACACAAGGCCUUUCUCAAGUUGCUCCUUCAACUUUCCAUUCUCCUCAAGUAGAUGCACAUGCUCACAACAAGGGUUAGUAGCAUUUCCAUUAUAAAUUAAAACCAUAUGUGGAAAAGUGGCUUUCUCCAUGGUUAGCUUCACUUGGAGUUGAUCAUGAGACUCCUUAAGACUAGCAUGCGUACCCUUCAAGGCCUUGUGAGCCUUGUAAAGAAUAUCAAAAUCCUCCUUGAGUCUAGCAAGAUCAACCCCAAGUUUGGCCUUCUCGAAAUUUAGCACACUAGAUACAACAAGAGCAUGAUCAAGAUCUUUCUUUAAUUUAGCACGGUCAUCGUUGUGUGACUCCUCAAGAGCCAAACGGUGACCGCGCUCUUCCUCAAGCGCAUUAGAGAGAUCCGAUAUCUCAUCGGCAUAGUCACGACUAUGCCCCUCAAUCUUAGAGAUGGUUUCUUCAUGAGCCUCAAUCAUGUAAUUGGCUUCACCAAGUUGUUCCAAGAGAGCAACAAAGUGCUUCUUGGAUUUACCCUUGAGCUUACUCAUAAAAGACUCAAAUUCAUUUUCCUCGUCAUUAGACCCCUCAUGUUCAUCAAUGCAAUCCGUCAAAGAAGGAUUAGUAAUGAUGGUAGUUUUGAUGUUGCGGGUUACCUUGUUGGUGGCUUUAGCCUUGAGGCACUUGGCGGUGAUGUUCUCAUUUGGUGAGUCGAAGAGAGACACCCGUGGAGUUGUUGCAAUGGAAACGGAGGCCAUGGCAACCGACUCACCGUCUUCAUCAUCAUCAUCAUCCUCAUUGUACUCUUCUUGUGCCACCAACCCCUUGGGAGGAGUCUUCUUGGUGAAGUUGCUCUUGUUAGGGAAGGACUUGGCCUUGUCUUUUCGGAUGAGCUUGCCACCAUUGUCUUCCCUCUUCUCAUAUGGGCACUCCGCAACAAAGUGGCUCACAUUGCCACAAUUAUAGCAAGUCCUCACUCGUUGCUUGCCCUUCGCGCCACUUGAGUUGUUCUUGUUGAAGUUGGGCCUUGUGUUCUUCUUGCUCCAAAAUUGCCUUGAAGCGAGAGCCAUGUGCUCAUGAUAAGCAUAUUUUGUAUCUUCGGGAUUGCUCUCCUCUUCUUCCUCUUCAUCCUCUUCUUCCACACUAACCUUGGCCUUCAAAGCAAGAUUGGGCUUCUUAGCUCUUUGAGAACGCAACGCCGCAUUGUCGGCGGUCUUGUCCAAGAUCCUCAUUGCCACAAACUCAUCCAACACUUCACUUGAGGACAAGGUGUGGAAGUCCGACCUUUGAUGGAUGGCGGAGGACAUGGCCUUGUGGUAAGGCAUCAUGGCCUUGAGGAACUUGCGCUUGAUCCAAUUGUCAUCCGUAUCCUUGCUCCCAUGAUCUCGGAGUAAGACCGCGAGAGUGGUUAAACUCCGGUAAAGCUCACGAGGUUCUUCAUCUUCAUUCAUUGCAAACUCAUCGGCUUCGUCUUGCACCACUUCAUAGUUGGAGCGUUGAAUGCUUGCGGAUGGAAUUGCAUCUUGGUCAUGGUGAAAGGUCGGAGAUGUGCAAGAUCUUCGGAUGGAAUUUCAUCUUGGAUGAUGAAGAGAGAAUUCUCGUUGAAUUGAUGAUCGACGGCUUCUCUAGGGUUGAGUUGCUUGGGUCAUGCGGAUAAAAACCUUGCUCAAUGAUUCUCCAAAGAUUAGUAUUAACAUGAUUUAAAUGACGUUUAAAGCGAUAUACCCAAGCGUCAAAAUCCUCAUUUUUCACAAUCUUAGGAGGAGGGCCGCCAUGAUUUAAAUGAGUGGAGGGAAUAGGUCCUCCAUAAAUAGGAGGAGGUUCCACAUGGGCAAAGAUGCCACUACCAUUUCUACCACUAGACACAGGAACUUUCUCACACUACUAGGAAAAGGGCUAUAGCUAAUAUGGACAUUAAUGGCGCACCAUGUAUGUGGUGCGCCACUGCUAUAUAGCAGUGGCGCACCAGAUACAGGUGCGCCAUUAGUGUCCUUAUUACAAAUGGCGCACCAGACACACGGUGCGCCAUUACUAGCAAAUUUUAUUUUUGUUAUUUUUCCAAAACUUUUAAUGGCACACCAGGGCACAGUGCGCCAUUACUAGUUUUAACUAGUAAUGGCGCACCACACGCUCUGUGCGCCACUACUAUUUUUUUAUUACUUUUUUUGUUCAAAACUACUAAUGGCGCACCAUGGUUGUGGUGCGGCAUUACUAGUUCAAACUAGUAAUGGCGCACCGUGGUUGUGGUGUGUCAUUACUAGUUCAAACUAGUAAUGGCGCACCACAACCACGGUGCGCCACUACUAACAAUUUUUUUUGCAAAACUAGUAAUGGCGCACCCCUAACUGGUGCGCCAUUAGUAACCAGGGUUACUAAUGGCACAUUUUUAGGUGGUGCGCCGUUAGUAACCUGAGACCAGCUAGAUAUUUUGGUCAGCCACCUACCACACUCACUUUCCCCACUUCAUUCUCUCCACCUCCUCCUCCAAGCUUGUCUCGGCUGCCUCCUCCUCCUCACCUCAUUUGCACCAUAGAUUCACCCAAAUUAAGUGGUUAAAUUACCUUUUUUUGAUAGGUAAGUAAGGGGAAAGCUUUCUUUAUGUUGUAGAUCUACUUUUUUCUCCCUCCAACAACGUGCACAUGCACUUUUUAUGGCCUGGCUAGAUCUACGUAUGUUUGUGGUGUUGCAUAUAUGUUUGUGUUUGCAGAUACCGGUAUUUGAAAUGCGAUAGUUGCCAAUAUUUUGCCGGAAUGUUGAUUCAUUUCUGUUUCGGCGAGAAUUUGGCACUAUGCAUUCUUUUUGGUCCUAUUUUUAGGCAAAGUCAUGCCAAAAAUUUUAUGGUUCUAAAAUAUCGUUUUGCUCUACCCGCAGGCGACCAUGGUCCGCACGAUGACCGAAGGCAUCGUGAAUAGGUUUUUGAGCUCCGCGAAGGCCGAGAUGCUUCAAAAGAACAAGACAGAGAUAAGAUGUCUGUGUCGAAGAUGCAAGCUGAAGAGCCUUAUUGCGGACCCGGAUUCUGGGCAGGUGCGGGACCACCUGCUCUUGCGUGGUUUCAUGGAUGGCUAUCGGUGGCAAGGUGAUGAAGAUGACUAUGAAGUCGUCCAUGGGGGCCGGGCAAGAAAUGAGGAAGGGCAGCAAGACAACCACCACGGCGAGGGCGGGCGAGAAGACGAAGAAUCUCCAGGACAUGAUCACGACGGUGAUGCAGUACACUGUCAUCAUGUAGAAGAUGCCGGACAUGAUGAUGAGGAAGAUCAAGACGAAGGGCAUGAUCAUGAAGAUGAAGAUGCCGGAGCAGACGACGAUGGACCAUCGAUGGGAUGGGUGCAGGACCCUCAUAUUCAAGAGCUGCUUCUCAAGCAGGCGGAUGAUGCAAGAGCUGCCGCCCGAGAGAAAGCCAAGCUGGAUCAACUGGAGAUAGACGCGGUUACUCCAUUGUAUGAAGGAUGCAGGCCCGAGGAUACCCGCCUGAAAGUAACGCUCAUGGCUCUGGAGAUGAAGGUAAAACACAAAAUGACCGACGCAUGCUUCGACGAGAACAUGUCAUUCUGGCACGAACGUCUUCCCAAGGGGAACAAGUGCCCGACCAGUUUCGAGGAGGCGAAGAAAAUCAUGUGUCCUCUGGAUUUACCGCACGUGAAAUACCAUGUAUGCAUGAACAAUUGCAUCAUUUAUCGGGACGACCACGCAGAGUCUACCAUAUGUCCGGCGUGCGGCGUCACUCGAUACAAGAAGAGGAAGAAAGCUCCUCGAAAAGUGGUGUGGUACUUUCCGAUCACUCCUCGUCUGCAGCGGUAUUUCGCGGACCCUAAGCGAGCAAAGCUCCUGCGUUAGCACGCGGAUAGGGAGGAGAAGAAGCGAGAAGAUGACGGAAAUGAUCCGGAGAUAAAUUAAAAAGACAAGAUGCUGAGUCACCCUAAGGAUGCGAGCGAGUGGCAAGCGUUGAACUUCGAACACCCAGAAUUUGGGGACGAUCCAAGGAACAUCGUGCUGGGCGCGAGCACCGAUGGAGUCAAUCCGUUUGGCAGCCAGAGAAGCACACAUAGCACCUGGCCUGUGUUUGUGUGGAUGUACAACCUUCCCCCCUGGUUGUGCAUGAAGAGGAAGUACAUUCACAUGAGUAUGCUAAUUGAAGGGCCGAAACAACCAGGGAACAACAUCAAUCUGUAUCUGGGGCUGCUGAAAGAGGAGCUAGACACGCUAUGGAAAUGCCAGCCAAUACAUGGGACGCCGCAGAGAAAGAAUAUUUCCCUAUGAGAGCCGCACUGCUCACGACGGUGCACGACUAUCUCGGUUACGGAUAUCUCGCGGGCAGGUGGUCCACUGAUUUUCUGGAUGCGUCAGGUGCAUGGAUGACACAACGUAUCGCCAGCUAGAUAGAGAUCCCGGGUCUUCGAAAACCGUGUUCAUGGGACAUCGAAGGUGGCUUCGCGACGAUGACCCAUGGAGAAAACGCAAGGAUCUGUUCGAUGGUGAAACCGAACCCCGAAGACGCCCGCGUACGAGGAGCGGCGAGGAAAUAGAUGAGCUGUUGAAAAAUUGGAAAGAUUGCCCACUGUCGGGAAAGAAGCAAAAGGCGCCAGAGCCGGGAAAGAAGCGAAAGGCGCCAGAGCCGCUGCUGAAGGUAUGGAAAACGAGGUCUGUUUUCUGGGACUUGCCGUACUGGAAGAUCCUCCGUGUGCCUCACAGCCUUGAUGUCAUGCAUAUCACGAAGAACGUGUGCGAGAGUCUGCUUGGUACCCUGCUCAACAUGCCAGAGAGGACCAAAGAUGGGCCGAAAGCAAGGGCAGACUUGAAAUCAAUGGGCAUCAGGGAGGAGCUUCAUGCUAAUGAUGAUGAUGAUGAUGAUGAUGAGGCGAAGCAGGACACGGAAAGUCGUCGCAAAGGCAAAAAGGCCAAGAAGACCGGAAAUGACUACCCUCCCGCGUGCUUCACUCUAAGUCAGGAGGAGAUCGAGCAGUUUUUCACCUGCCUCGUAGGAGUAAAACUUCCUUACGGUUACGCGGGGAAGAUAAGCAGAUACCUAGACUCAGCGAAGCAGAAGUUCAGCGGGAUGAAGUCUCACGACUGUCACGUGCUGAUGACGCAGAUACUUCCAGUUGCAAUCCGUGGGAUCAUGGACGCGCACGUCUGUGAAACGCUAUUUGGCCUAUGCAACUAUUUCGACGUCAUCUCUCGGAAGUCGGUUGGCGUGAGGCAACUCAGAAGGCUAUAGGAAGAGAUCGUGGUGAUACUAUGCGAGCUUGAGAUGUACUUCCCGCCCGCAUUCUUCGAUGUUAUGGUGCAUCUGCUGGUCCAUAUCGUGGAGGAUAUCAUCCAACUCGGGCCGACGUUCCUGCACAGCAUGAUGCCGUUCGAAAGGAUGAAUGGUGUCAUCAAAGGAUACGUUCGCAACAUGUCACGUCCAGAGGGAAGCAUAGCCAGGGGCUUUCUGACUGAAGAGUGCAUCUCCUACUGCACGAAUUAUCUAGGCAUCGAGAACCCCGUUGGUCUGCCCGUCAACAGGCACCUUGGCAGGCUCGCUGGAUGGGGUCACCGCGAUGGUCGCCGCGAAAUGCAUGUCGACUUCGAGGGUCGACUCGCCGACUUUGAAAGAGCAAACCUAGUCGCGCUACAACACAUAGACGUGGUCGAUCCUUAGGUGGUAGAGCACAAAACCUUUAUUGAGAAGACGUACAAUGACCGAGGCCAACAGAGGACGGACGGAGAUAUAAUCAAAGAGCACAACUCAUGUUUCACGCGUUGGUUCAAGGAGAAGCUUCUGUCGUACCCUUUACAUGAGGAUUCUUCCGCGGAAGAAAAACUCAUAUUCGCCUUGUCACAGGGCGCCGAGCACAACCUGAUGACCUAUGAGGCGUACGAUAUCAACGGCUAGACAUUCUACACCGAGGACAAGGACAUGAAGGGCGAUGGUUAUCAGAACUCCAGGGUAACGAUGGAAUCCUACACCGGUAACGACAAGGACAGAUACUACGGAAGGAUUGAGGAGAUCUGGGAACUGAGCUACGCUGGAGAGAAGGUCCCGAUGUUCCGUGUUAGAUGGGCCAAGAGCGUCAUAAAAGAAGACCGGUAUUUCACCACCAUGGUUAUACCCGAAGCCAAAUCCAAGACCGCAGGCGCAAACGUCACCGCGAAAAAUGAGCCAUGGAUACUGGCUUCCCAAGUGGACCAAUGCUUCUUCAUUACCGACCCAUCAAAGCCCAGUCGUGUUGUCGUGAGGAGAGGCAAAAGGAAGAUCAUCAGAAUGGAUGGAGUCGCCAAUGAGCAAGACUUCGACAAGUACGGCGACCCGAAGAUGGAACAUGACGACGACGAUGAAGUGCCAUACACCACAAGAAGAAGCAGGACCACCCUACCUAAAGGACGUCCGUUCCACAAAAGAACUCCAUUUGCGAAAAAGAAGGGCAAGAAGAUUGUGAAAAGAGAGCUAGCUAAAAUCGAUUGUAUUUAAAUCAUAGUCUUCAUUUCUCGAUUGUAAUUCGACAUAUUGAAAUGAUAUUUCUUCUGUUCUAGUCCUCAUGAAUAUUUAUUUAUGUUCAUUAUGGUAUUGAAUUUCUAACUCACAAAAAGUAUUGAAUUUGUUAAUAUUUUUUGAAUUCAUGAAUAUUUUUAAAUUUCAUGGGCAUGUUUUGAAUUCAUGAAUAUUUUUUAAAAUUUGAUGAUAUUCUUUCAUAUUCAUAAAUGUUUUACCAAUUCACAAAUGAAUGCAACUAAAAAUCCAAAAAAACAAAUUUGAUGAUAUUUUCAAAUAACAAAUUUGAUGAUAUUUUUAAAAAAUGAUUACUGUUUUUAUAAAAAAAUAUUACUGUUUCAUAUUCAUAUUCAUUUUCUAAAAAAUUAUUAGACGCAACAAAAAAUAAUAAUAAAAAAAGUUACUAAUGGCGCACCAGAGGUGGGUGCGCCAUUGCUAUCACUGUUUUUAUAAAAAAUUAUUACUGUUUCAUAUUCAUAUUCUUUUUCUAAAAAAUUAUUAGAUGCAACACAAAAAAAAAAUAAAAAAAA